CUGGUAGAUACAAAUACAAUUGAUUUUUAAAAUAUUGAAUUGUAUACUGUGAACUUACUAAACUCCCAUAUUACUUCUAGUUCCUUUUAGGUAGAUUCCUUAAGAUUUCCUGUAAUCAUGUGACUUUCAAAUAAAGACAGUUUUAUGUUUCCUUUCUGAUCUGUAUGCCUUUUAUUUCUUUUUCUUCCUGGUGAAGAAUAGGGCAGGUACUCAAGCCUGUCUGGAAUGGCUUGAGUGAAAGAAGAGACAGGUGGCUUUGGUUUUUAUUGGGGCUAGGGUUGGGGCCAGGAUAAAUGUUACUUCUGGCUAACGUUUGCAUGUUUUGAAUAUUCUGCCGGUGCCAAGGGAGACAGUGUGUGGAUCUUCUUCUGGCUUACUCAGAUGUGGAGCAAAAAGGGGAAGUGGAAGGAGUAAGGCUUGAAAGCUGUCAGAGGUUAAACAUCAAAACUGGAGUCAGACUCUUUAUUAUAAUUUGAUUUGCUAAAAUGAUUUCAAGGAAAUUGGACCAUUAGCAAUGGGAAUUUCAAAGUUGGUGGUCUAGGAACAGGAUCACUACAUUGGUUUGUGAUUUUAAUUUUAUCUAGAUGGCCUAUAGGACCUUUAAGGAAUUUAAUGACGUAGACAACAAGAAAAUAAUGUUGCCAGCAGUAUGCUAUCAGAUGUAAGUUCUACCCUAUCACCUAAAGACCCUUCCCCUGCUUAGUCCUCUUUAAUCUGGCUUUAUUUUAAGAGGUGGAUAUAAUGUCAGACAAGUGUUCUUUAGGCCAUCAAUUAUUAUCUUCUUAUCAGGCCAACCCCAUCACUAAUUUCUUGGUUGGGAAAUCUAAUAAUUUUUUGUUUAUAUUUUCAUGCAGACUAGAAAGAUUAUUAUUAGAGUUGAUUUUACCCAUCACUGAAUGAGUCUUCAAUAACUUGAUUUUCUAUUGUCUUUAAUAAUAACAUGACUCCCUUACCCUCCCCCUUCUCCCUUAGAUUCAGAGAGCUCGGCACUUAGGGCAACUUCAGUCAUUCCCACAUUUGAAACCAACUCAUCACUUGCAUUCUUGAACUUCCUCCAACCAAAUUACUAAAAGAAUGUAUUCCUGAGGCAAUUAAUCUGGUAAUUACACUGAUUUUUGCCUUUUUCUAGUGACAGGUGUUAGCACCAUGGCAAUUAUGACUUACUGGGAAAAGAAAAUCCUAAAUCAAAUUCUGCCCAGAACCUACAUACCCAGGCUGUCUGGGGUUUGCCAUAUUUAUUAAUGCUAGAGGAAAGAGGCCCUGUUUUCUGAGUCACCACUCAUUUAAAGACAUUCCCUAUACACACUGUCUGUCCUGCGUAGGGAAUGCUGCAUUUAUUUGGAUUAAUGCAUUUAUUUGGAAUCUUCCCAGUUGCUAAGGGCAACAAAGACCAUGUGUCCUCCCUAGCUGAGUUAGCCUUGCAGAGCAGCACAGCUGGACUUGCAUUCAAGGGUGGUAUUUCUUUCAUUUGUAGGGAGGUUAGCAAUUCCCUGACCAGAGAGCAAAUAACACUAAAACUGUGAAUACCUCAAAUUUCUCUGCCUUCCACAGACAAGAUGUUUUGAAACAAUGUGCCUUCAAGAACUUAGAAUCUCACUGGGGAGACAAGAUGGACAGAUGACUACGGAAGUUUGAAUUGGAACGACAAUUUGAGAAAGCUUCAAAGAAGAGGCCAUAUGAGAUGGCCUUGAAUCACAAGUUGGAAUUUGAAUAAUGGAAACUGUAAGGAAAGAAGGGACCUGGCACUGCAGGUAUUUACUUGCAAGGAGACAGCAAUAGUAGUUCUGAGCAGUCACCUGUGACAUCUCCAGUGGAGUCUGGAAAAGACAUGUGGAUUCACUUAUAUGAAUAAACGCACGAUGAACAACAACAACAAAAAUGUGUUUGAUCUGGUACCAACUGAGUCAAACUUUACAAAUAUCCAGGGGAGCACAUGAUAGAUGAAGAUGUCAGAGCAUUGGUUAGAACCCCAGAGAAAAGUUACCCAUGAUUGGACAUAAGCUGACAAUUGGAUUUCUGGAGGUGACAGCCUUGGUUACACAACCUCCUUCUUACCUCUAUACUUCUACCUACCUCUCUCCCGCUAUAUUUCAUGCCUAUAGGAGUCAUUGAUGGCAAAACACAGGACAGCUCCUGAUUCCAGCAGCAGCACAAGCCUCUGUCCUAUAUUCAGACUCUAUUCACAGGGGCAGCUUUCCUGGGUCAUUGGUUCUAAGAGCAAGGUCUGCAGGCUGAAUUCUCCAGGCAUGGCCUUUGUGGGUAAUAAUACAGUAUUUUGAGAGGUGAUGUUAUUUAUCAUAUCAUAAUGUGUUGCAUAGUGAGGCUGAGGAAGCAGCAUUGAACAGCAAAACCAGGAGACCUGGGUUUGCAUUUUAGUUUUAUUUCUAAUUUGCUAGUGCAACUUCUCUGGAACUGAGUUUACUCAAUUGUAAAAUGACAAAGUUAGACUAGGUCAUUGUUUCUAGACAGUGUUCACUACCUGCAUUAGGCUCACAAUGCUCGUACAAUGCAGAUUCCUGGGCCCAGCUGGCUCCCAUUGAAUCAGAAUUUUGUGGUGUGGCCCUGCAAUCUGCAUUUGUAACACUCCCCAUCUCUAGGUGAUCAAAACUUUGAGAAAUACACUAUUGGACUAAAUAUCUCUCUAUGCCUCCUUUGUAGUCUUUAGUCUUCUAAUCCUCAGGUUGGUGCUUCCAAAGGAAAAACUCUCCCUCUCCCGUGGGAAUGGCUGAUGGCUGUUCUAGGGUAUUUUGUCCAACUAAACUCUUUUGUAGAUAAAACAUUUUGGAACUGAAUUAUCUCCAGUACUUUAGGUUAAGAAGAUUGCCUACAUCUCAGAGAGAAAUGAAAACAGUGUCCUUGGGGGGAGAAAACUUCACAAGGUUUGAAAACACAAGUGUCCUUGGACUACAUUCUUCUUCAGUCACCUUCAGAAGAAUCACUUGAAGGUCCUACCUUCCUCUUCGUGGGAGACGGAUGGAUCAGUUUGCACCGAGACCCCGCAGCCAGGCAACUCAGCUCUGUAGGCUCUGAUUCCACACUGCGAAGAUUCACUUCUUCCUUGCCUCCUCAGACUGAACAUGGGCGUGACAAACCACAUGACACCAUUGGUAGGGAUUGUAGCUGUGGAAAGUCAGUUCACAGUCUGAUACCUCAGAGAGCCUUAUUUUAGAGUUUGUGGGGUUUGGUGUACAUAAUUUAUUUUUUUGGUCUUAAGCAAGAACCUGGAUAUGGGUUUUUCUCUUUCUGACUGUCAAAACAAAACGGGGUUCAAUUAUUUCUCUCCUUUAAAUGACUUAUGAUCUUCGCCUCAUUUUAUCUGGACUUAAUUGAGCUUGCUAGGAUCAUUGUGAAUACAAAGCAGCUGGAGGAGCUUGGGUGCAGCCAGACGAAUUGGAGCGUUGGGUUUCUUUUCUCUAGCAUAUACAGUGGUGGUUCUCAGCAGGGACAGUUUACCCUCUAGGACACAUUCCGCAGUGAAUGGGGAUAGUUUUGCUUGUCACAACUGGGGCAGUGCUACUGGCAUCUCCUGGGCAGAGGCCAGGGAUGCUGCCAAACAGCUACAAUGCACAGGUCAGCCCCCCCUCUCCCAACAAAGAGUUAUCUGGCUCAAAAUGUCAACAGUCUCAAGGCUGAAAAACGCUAAUAUUCAGUAACUAAAGUAAUAAUUUAUAUAUUUUGGGGUAGGGACACAUCCAUAAUGCCAGAAGGAGUGAAGGAUGGAGAAGUAAAGGAGGGGUGGCUUUGAUAUGGAAUGUCUGACACAACUUAAAAUGGAAAUAAAGUCUAAUUUCUAGGACAAGUUCAGGCUCACUUAUGUGCUUAGAACAGAUUUUGAAAAGGACCCAGGAGGGAACUGUAGGCUGAGUUGAAUAUAAAGACACAGGCCCAUUAAUUUUAGGCCAGGUGAGGACACAAGACAAGUUUCAUUUGUCAACAGAGCUAUAGUAAACAUCUUAACACAGUUUGUCUUUCUAAUGACAGUGAUUUUAACAAAAAAUGAUGUUUAUUUCUUUCUUUGAAAAGUUACAUUUCAAAGAUUCUAGAGUAUCUCAAAUCUAGAAUAUCUUCCCAUCCCUUCAAGUUUUCUUAGGCUGUUAAAAGCAUCACGUAGUUAACUGCUAGCUAUAAAGGGAGCUUGAUUGAAGGUGCUUGUUCCUAUUGAUGUCGCUUUACUUUCCACCUGCACUGGUUGUUUUCUCUGCUCCACCUCCAAUCCCUUCUCUUCCCUGAGCACCAGGAAACUCCCUUGUUCCCUGGUUUCUGGAUGGAUUUGGCUAAUGAGAGACACUGGCAAGAAACUGGAGGGCAAGAGGAAAAAGAAGUCCGAGGUGCUUACCCCAGUUCUCAUCCACCCUGCCGCACAGCAGUCUGGCAGUGGCUGUUCCUCUAAGACCCAGCUUCUUUGGGACAGCCAUUCUUCCUCCAGCGAUGUCAAGCUCUGGAAACCCUGUGUUUCCCCUGCUCCUCCAGACGUAGGAGUAGUAAAGGCUUUUCGCUCUUGUUACUCCCUAGAGGCCCUACCAUCUCUUUUUAGUUCCCUUAACUCAGAACGCUACUCUCUAAAUAAUCCCUUCAUUCAAUUCUUUUCAGUUAAGCUCUCUUGAGUGUAUCAUCUGUUUUGUGUUAGGCCUCUCACUAAUGCAGUACCUACCAAAUUUUUAGUGGAAAGAUAUUGAUUUUGUAUGAAAUAUUCAAGUAAUAUUGAAUUGGAGGCCAGAAGACUUGCACUCUUGUCCCAGUUCUUCUAGGUAGCGCUUUCCUUCUGAAGACUCACUGAGACUUAUUCCCUCAUCUAUUAAAUAAGGAUGAAAAAUGUCUUAUGUACAUGUUAUGAGAAUGAAAUUAAUGUAUACAGUUUGAAAACAUUAAGCUCUGAAAAUUAGAAGCCACCUGGCCUGUUGGCAAGGAGACUAGCAACACAUAUUCUAAUUCUAGCCUCCAGUUAUUUAGGACUCUAACUUUGUGUGUAUAUUUUGGUUGUCUGGGAUUCCUUUUCCCCAUAAUAAACAUGCUGAUUAGAUUAGAUGAUCUUCCUGGUUCUUCCUAGCUUCAAAAAAUUUCACAAUCUUUAUAUAUUCUGUUUUCAUUGUUCUAGACUAUUUGGCAGAAUGACCUGUAAAAACAAAUAUGAGAAUGUGGAGAAAAAAGGUAAAUAGAAGUUUUCUAGAGAAAAGAAAAUUUGAAAUAUUCUAAAUAACAGUUAAAAGAUGGAUUUAACUUCCAUGUGGUUACAAAUGGGAGAAUCAGGACAAUUGGGUAGAUGUUAUAGGUGAUAGCUGUAAGUACAAGGAAUGGACAAGCCUUUCUAAUGUUUAGACUGCUUCAAUAGUGGAGGGUAAUAGACUGGCUUCCAGGGAGGUGUCUUGCCCAUCACUGGGAUUGUUCAAGCAGAGACAUACUUAUUUCUCAGGAAUACUGUAGAGAAGCUUCCUGUGACGAUAUGAGAUUGGACAUUGCAGUCACAUGAUUUAAUGAAGUAAUGGUUAGGUACGUCACAAAUAUAGAGGGAUUGUUCAGGAAUGUUAAAGAACUGUGAUUCUUUGUUUUCAAGAAAAGAAGACAAUGGCAACAGGAAAGGAGAAGAUAUAAAGCAUUAUUAUAUAAGCAGGAUACUGUCAUACGGUCUUUUAUGUUUGCGGAGAAUCAGGAAGAAAACAGCAGGGUUUAGAUUCCAGCAAUGAUUAUUUUUUUGUUUAAGCUAUUAGAAAAAAUCCAUCGUAAUAGUAAUCAAACAAUCCCUUUAUCAGAGCACUUCCAGUUUGUUUCUUAAGUGUUUAAUGAACUCCUUUUAUACACCAAACAUGUGCUGAGAUCAAAUAGAGACUGGGUUUUAAAAAGCCAUGAAGAUUUUAUGGGGGAAAAUGACAUCAUGCAAUACAAUGCUGUUUUGAUUUUUAUUAUUAUUAUUUCUUGUUUUUUAUUGCAGUGACAUUGGAUUAUAAUAUUAUAUAACUUCCAGGUGUACCUCAUAGCAUGUUUCGAAUUCUGUGUAGAUUACAUCAUGUUCAAUGCUGUUUUUAUUAUUCGCAUUUUCUAGAGGGAGAAGCCCUUAUAAAAACUAUAAAGUUUGCCUUUCAUAUCACUUCACUCUUCUUUCCAGUUAUUUCCCUCCUUCUUUUAGCAACGCUUCCUCAUUCAUUUGACAGAUAUUCAUUAAAUAUGUACUAGGUGCAGGUACUAUUCAAGACUAUAGGUAUACAGAGACAAAGUGAUCAGUGCCUUGAAUCUGCAUUUUAUUUCUGAUUAUCUAAAUUCUAAAAUGAGUCUGCCUCAUCAGAGGCCCAAUCCCGGUCUGCCCCCAGCAACACUCAACACUAUGUUGCCAACUCUGUUUCUCACAGUUAUUUGUUUCCCAGGAUGGAAGGCAUGCCAAUAACUAAGGUUGGGGAGACUAAGCAUCAGCACUUAAUAUACUGGCAACAUUCACAUCUCCCCACCUUAACUAAAAAGGAACCUGAUACAUUGAAAUACAUGGUAUUAUGGACUGAAUUGUAUUCCCCUAAAAUUCAUAUGUUGAAGUCCUAACUCCCAGUACCUCAGAAUGUGGUUGUAUUUGGAGAUAGGGCCUUUAAAGAGGUGAUUAAUGUAAAAUGAGAUCGUAUCGAUGAGCCCUAAUCCAGUAUGACUGCUGUCCUUAUAAGAA
Equus caballus (horse) is the source of this 6643-nucleotide long non-coding RNA. RefSeq lists it as uncharacterized. The record is from RefSeq and is a predicted model, not a curated record. Lineage: Eukaryota; Metazoa; Chordata; Mammalia; Perissodactyla; Equidae.